AGUGAACGCUGGCGGUAGGCCUAACACAUGCAAGUCGAACGGCAGCACAGUAAGAGCUUGCUCUUACGGGUGGCGAGUGGCGGACGGGUGAGGAAUACAUCGGAAUCUACUUUUUCGUGGGGGAUAACGUAGGGAAACUUACGCUAAUACCGCAUACGACCUACGGGUGAAAGCAGGGGAUCUUCGGACCUUGCGCGAUUGUAUGAGCCGAUGUCGGAUUAGCUAGUUGGCGGGGUAAAGGCCCACCAAGGCGACGAUACGUAGCUGGUCUGAGAGGAUGAUCAGCCCCACUGGAACUGAGACACGGUCCAGACUCCUACGGGAGGCAGCAGUGGGGAAUAUUGGACAAUGGGCGCAAGCCUGAUCCAGCCAUACCGCGUGGGUGAAGAAGGCCUUCGGGUUGGAAAGCCCUUUUGUUGGGAAAGAAACGCAGCAGGUUAAUACCACGCUGUUCUGACGGUACCCAAAGAAUAAGCACCGGCUAACUUCGUG
This 492-nucleotide ribosomal RNA is filed under the name uncultured bacterium. RNAcentral's name for it is "partial 16S ribosomal RNA". It matches the Rfam family "Bacterial small subunit ribosomal RNA", at positions 29 to 507 of the family's 1533-position model. The record is from RNAcentral.